This 544-nucleotide ribosomal RNA is filed under the name uncultured bacterium. RNAcentral's name for it is "partial 16S ribosomal RNA". It matches the Rfam family "Bacterial small subunit ribosomal RNA", at positions 355 to 885 of the family's 1533-position model. The record is from RNAcentral.
UGGGGAAUAUUGCACAAUGGGCGCAAGCCUGAUGCAGCCAUGCCGCGUGUGUGAAGAAGGCCUUCGGGUUGUAAAGCACUUUCAGCGAGGAGGAAGGUGGUGAGCUUAAUACGCUCAUCAAUUGACGUUACUCGCAGAAGAAGCACCGGCUAACUCCGUGCCAGCAGCCGCGGUAAUACGGAGGGUGCAAGCGUUAAUCGGAAUUACUGGGCGUAAAGCGCACGCAGGCGGUUUGUUAAGUCAGAUGUGAAAUCCCCGGGCUCAACCUGGGAACUGCAUUUGAAACUGGCAAGCUAGAGUCUCGUAGAGGGGGGUAGAAUUCCAGGUGUAGCGGUGAAAUGCGUAGAGAUCUGGAGGAAUACCGGUGGCGAAGGCGGCCCCCCUGGACGAAGACUGACGCUCAGGUGCGAAAGCGUGGGGCAGCAAACAGGAUUAGAUACCCUGGUAGUCCAGCGCUGUAAAACGAUGUCGAUUUGGAGGUUGUGCCCUUGAGGCGUGGCUUCCGGAGCUAACGCGUUAAAGUCGACCGCCUGGGGGAGUACGG